UAAUACGGAGGGUGCAAGCGUUAUCCGGAUUACCUGGGUUUAAAGGGUGCGUAGGAGGGCAGGUAAGUCAGUGGUGAAAUCUCCGGGCUUAACUCGGAAACUGCCGUUGAUACUAUCUGCCUUGAAUACCGUGGAGGUGAGCGGAAUAUGUCAUGUAGCGGUGAAAUGCUUAGAUAUGACAUAGAACACCAAUUGCGAAGGCAGCUCACUACACGAAUAUUGACUCUGAGGCACGAAAGCGUGGGGAUCAAACAGGAUUAGAUACCCUGGUAGUCCACGCCCUAAACGAUGGAUACUCGACAUACGCGAUACACAGUGUGUGUCUGAGCGAAAGCAUUAAGUAUCCCACCUGGGAAGUACGACCGCAAGGUU
This 372-nucleotide ribosomal RNA is filed under the name uncultured bacterium. Its description in RNAcentral is "bacterial SSU rRNA". It matches the Rfam family "Bacterial small subunit ribosomal RNA", at positions 521 to 895 of the family's 1533-position model. The record is from RNAcentral.